UUGAGCGGAGAUAUAUGGAGCUUGCUUUAUAUAACUUAGCAGCGAACGGGUGAGUAACACGUAGAUAAUCUAUCCUAUACUGGGGGAUAGCCCGAUGAAAGUUGGAUUAAUACCGCAUAUAGCUAUAUAGUUGCAUGAUUAUGUAGUGAAAGAUUUAUUGGUAUAGGAGGAGUCUGCGGCACAUUAGCUAGUAGGUGAGGUAAAGGCUUACCUAGGCGACGAUGUGUAGCCGGUCUGAGAGGAUGAACGGCCACAAUGGAACUGAGACACGGUCCAUACUCCUACGGGAGGCAGCAGUGGGGAAUAUUGCACAAUGGGGGAAACCCUGAUGCAGCAACGCCGCGUGAGUGAAGAAGGUUUUCGGAUUGUAAAGCUCUGUUAGCAGGGAAGAGGAAGGACGGUACCUGCAGAGGAAGCCACGGCUAACUACGUGCCAGCAGCCGCGGUAAUACGUAGGUGGCAAGCGUUGUUCGGAAUAACUGGGCGUAAAGGAUGCGUAGGCGGUUAAACAAGUUAUAUGUUAAAUAUAUAGGCUUAACCUGUAGAAAGCAUAUAAAACUGUUUAACUAGAGUGCAGGAGAGGUAAGUGGAAUUCCUAGUGUAGCGGUGAAAUGCGUAGAGAUUAGGAAGAACACCAGUGGCGAAGGCGACUUACUGGACUGUAACUGACGCUGAGGCAUGAGAGCAUGGGGAGCAAACAGGAUUAGAUACCCUGGUAGUCCAUGCUGUAAACGAUGGGUACUAGGUGUGGGUUGUG
This 757-nucleotide ribosomal RNA is filed under the name uncultured bacterium. RNAcentral describes it as "bacterial SSU rRNA". It matches the Rfam family "Bacterial small subunit ribosomal RNA", at positions 62 to 831 of the family's 1533-position model. The record is from RNAcentral.